CGGCAGAAUCGUGAAAUAAUUGUUCAGGUUCUGAUAAGAACACCAAACUUGGCACAAUGAUAGUUUGGGACAUACUCUCUAAGCUUACAACAUUGUUUUCGCGGUGAUCGAAAGUAACACUCGCGCAAAUAAAAUAGCGACCAAAAACGUGCGCAAGUACAUACGUGAUGGUAGGUUGGACGGAAUUCUUGUUUAUGGGAAUACACUUCAGAUCUUGGUUGAAUAUUCUGUUUUAACUGCUGUACAACAUGCCUCUG
Molecule: non-coding RNA, 257 nt
Organism: Paramuricea clavata
Lineage: Eukaryota; Metazoa; Cnidaria; Anthozoa; Malacalcyonacea; Plexauridae
Source: the annotation of a GenBank genome assembly